RNAcentral lists this ribosomal RNA (497 nucleotides) under uncultured bacterium. Its description in RNAcentral is "partial 16S ribosomal RNA". It matches the Rfam family "Bacterial small subunit ribosomal RNA", at positions 28 to 507 of the family's 1533-position model. The record is from RNAcentral.
GAUGAACGCUGGCGGCGUGCCUAAUACAUGCAAGUCGAGCGAACAGAUGAGGAGCUUGCUCCUCUGACUUUAGCGGCGGACGGGUGAGUAACACGUGGAUAACCUACCUAUAAGACUGGGAUAACUUCGGGAAACCGGAGCUAAUACCGGAUAAUAUAUUGAACCGCAUGGUUCAAUAGUGAAAGACGGUUUUGCUGUCACUUAUAGAUGGAUCCGCGCCGCAUUAGCUAGUUGGUAAGGUAACGGCUUACCAAGGCAACGAUGCGUAGCCGACCUGAGAGGGUGAUCGGCCACACUGGAACUGAGACACGGUCCAGACUCCUACGGGAGGCAGCAGUAGGGAAUCUUCCGCGAUGGGCGAAAGCCUGACGGAGCAACGCCGCGUGAGUGAUGAAGGUCUUCGGAUCGUAAAACUCUGUUAUUAGGGAAGAACAAAUGUGUAAGUAACUAUGCACGUCUUGACGGUACCUAAUCAGAAAGCCACGGCUAACUACGUG